GAGAGCAAUCAGCCUCGUAGAACUGCAAACAGCAUGUUGAAGCCAUGGGACUAUUUGACAUUGCCUAGGUAAGUUUCUGGACUUGAUCUCAAAUAUUAAGAAAUGCCCAUGGAAUGGAAUCUGGGAAUGGAAUGCUCUCAGGCAAGAAACAACUACAGCUGUCCCUCUGUAUCCACAGGGAUUGGUUCCAGGACCUCCCAGGGAUACCAAAAUCCAUGGACGUUCAAGUCCCUUGCAUAAAACAGCAAAGAAUUUGCAUAUGACCUACACACAUCCUCCCAUUUACUUUAAAUCAUCUCUAGAUUACUUAAAAAUACCCAAUAAAUGCUAUGUGAAUAGCUGCCAGCAAGUGGCAAUUCAAGCUUUGCUUUUUGGAAUUUUCUGGAAAAAAAUUUUUUUUUCAGAAUAUCUUUCAUUCACUGUUGGUUGAAUCCAUGGAUGCAGAACCCACAGAUAAGAAAGGUGACUGGAGAGGUCUUUUUCUGUACUCAAUAAAUGGUCUUCAUA
Molecule: long non-coding RNA, 507 nt
Organism: Bos taurus (domestic cattle)
Lineage: Eukaryota; Metazoa; Chordata; Mammalia; Artiodactyla; Bovidae
Source: Ensembl